UACGGAGACUACGAGCGUUACUCGGAUUCACUGGGCGUAAAGGGAGCGCAGGCGGAAUGGUGUGUUAGGUGUGAAAUCUCGGGGCUUAACUUCGAAAUAGCGCCUAAAACUAUCAAUCUAGAGUCUUGGAGAGGUAAGCGGAAUUUCCGGUGUAGCGGUAAAAUGCGUAGAUAUCGGAAGGAACACCGAAGGCGAAGGCAGCUUACUGGACAGGGACUGACGCUCAUGCUCGAAAGCGUGGGGAGCGAAA
Molecule: ribosomal RNA, 250 nt
Filed under: uncultured prokaryote
Description: partial 16S ribosomal RNA
Rfam family: Bacterial small subunit ribosomal RNA
Source: RNAcentral